AUUGAACGCUGGCGGCAGGCUUAACACAUGCAAGUCGAGCGGGGGAAGGUAGCUUGCUACCGGACCUAGCGGCGGACGGGUGAGUAAUGCUUAGGAAUCUGCCUAUUAGUGGGGGACAACAUCUCGAAAGGGAUGCUAAUACCGCAUACGUCCUACGGGAGAAAGCAGGGGAUCCUCGGACCUUGCGCUAAUAGAUGAGCCUAAGUCGGAUUAGCUAAUUGGUGGGGUAAAGGCCUACCAAGGCGACGAUCUGUAGCGGGUCUGAGAGGAUGAUCCGCCACACUGGGACUGAGACACGGCCCAGACUCCUACGGGAGGCAGCAGUGGGGAAUAUUGGACAAUGGGGGGAACCCUGAUCCAGCCAUGCCGCGUGUGUGAAGAAGGCCUUAUGGUUGUAAAGCACUUUAAGCGAGGAGGAGGCUACUUUAGUUAAUACCUAGAGAUAGUGGACGUUACUCGCAGAAUAAGCACCGGCUAACUCUGUGCCAGCCGCGCGGUAA
This 500-nucleotide ribosomal RNA is filed under the name uncultured bacterium. Its description in RNAcentral is "partial 16S ribosomal RNA". It matches the Rfam family "Bacterial small subunit ribosomal RNA", at positions 30 to 523 of the family's 1533-position model. The record is from RNAcentral.